AGCGAACGCUGGCGGCAGGCUUAACACAUGCAAGUCGAGCGGGCGUAGCAAUACGUCAGCGGCAGACGGGUGAGUAACGCGUGGGAACGUACCUUUUGGUUCGGAACAACCCAGGGAAACUUGGGCUAAUACCGGAUAAGCCCUUACGGGGAAAGAUUUAUCGCCAAAAGAUCGGCCCGCGUCUGAUUAGCUAGUUGGUGAGGUAACGGCUCACCAAGGCGACGAUCAGUAGCUGGUCUGAGAGGAUGAUCAGCCACAUUGGGACUGAGACACGGCCCAAACUCCUACGGGAGGCAGCAGUGGGGAAUAUUGGACAAUGGGCGCAAGCCUGAUCCAGCCAUGCCGCGUGAGUGAUGACGCCCCUCGGGUGUAAA
This 374-nucleotide ribosomal RNA is filed under the name uncultured bacterium. Its description in RNAcentral is "bacterial SSU rRNA". It matches the Rfam family "Bacterial small subunit ribosomal RNA", at positions 29 to 429 of the family's 1533-position model. The record is from RNAcentral.